UACGAAGGGGGCUAGCGUUGUUCGGAAUUACUGGGCGUAAAGCGCGCGCAGGCGGCUAUCCAAGUCAGUGGUGAAAGCCCGGAGCUCAACUCCGGAACUGCCAUUGAAACUGUUUAGCUUGAGGAUGAGAGAGGUGAGUGGAAUUCCCAGUGUAGAGGUGAAAUUCGUAGAUAUUGGGAAGAACACCGGUGGCGAAGGCGGCUCACUGGCUCAUUACUGACGCUCAGGCGCGAUAGCGUGGGGAUCGAACAGG
RNAcentral lists this ribosomal RNA (253 nucleotides) under uncultured bacterium. RNAcentral's name for it is "partial 16S ribosomal RNA". It matches the Rfam family "Bacterial small subunit ribosomal RNA", at positions 524 to 776 of the family's 1533-position model. The record is from RNAcentral.